This 503-nucleotide ribosomal RNA is filed under the name uncultured bacterium. RNAcentral describes it as "partial 16S ribosomal RNA". It matches the Rfam family "Bacterial small subunit ribosomal RNA", at positions 28 to 523 of the family's 1533-position model. The record is from RNAcentral.
GAUGAACGCUAGCGGCAGGCCUAACACAUGCAAGUCGAGGGGUAGCAGGAUUAAGCUUGCUUAAUUGCUGACGACCGGCGCACGGGUGCGUAACGCGUAUGCAACCUACCUUAUACUGGGGUAUAGCCCGGAGAAAUUCGGAUUAAUCCCCCAUAGUACUAAUGAAUCGCAUGGUUUAUUAGUUAAAGCAUUGCGGUAUAAGAUGGGCAUGCGUCCUAUUAGCUAGAUGGUGAGGUAACGGCUCACCAUGGCUACGAUAGGUAGGGGGCCUGGAAGGGUGGUCCCCCACACUGGUACUGAGACACGGACCAGACUCCUACGGGAGGCAGCAGUGAGGAAUAUUGGUCAAUGGGCGCAAGCCUGAACCAGCCAUGCCGCGUGCAGGAAGAAUGCCCUAUGGGUUGUAAACUGCCUUUAUUUGGGAAUAAACCUCUUUACGUGUAGAGAGCUGAAGGUACCAAAUGAAUAAGCACCGGCUAACUCCGUGCCAGCAGCCGCCGUAA